CAGGGAUUGCCCUAGUAACGGCGAGUGAAGCGGCAACAGCUCAAAUUUGAAAUCUGGCCUUCGGGUCCGAGUUGUAAUUUGCAGAGGAUGCUUUUGGCGAGGUGCCUUCCGAGUUCCCUGGAACGGGACGCCUUAGAGGGUGAGAGCCCCGUACGGUUGGACACCGAGCCUCUGUAAAGCUCCUUCGACGAGUCGAGUAGUUUGGGAAUGCUGCUCUAAAUGGGAGGUAAAUUUCUUCUAAAGCUAAAUACCGGCCAGAGACCGAUAGCGCACAAGUAGAGUGAUCGAAAGAUGAAAAGCACUUUGAAAAGAGGGUUAAAUAGCACGUGAAAUUGUUGAAAGGGAAGCGUUUACGGCCAGACCUUCUCCUGGCGGAUCAUCCGGUGUUCUCACCGGUGCACUUCGCCAGGUUUAGGCCAGCAUCGGCUUCUGUAGGGGGAUAAAAGCAGUGGGAAAGUAGCUCUCUCGGGAGUGUUAUAGCCCUAAGCAUAAUACCUUUACGGGGGCCGAGGACCGCGCUUCGGCAAGGAUGCUGGCGUAAUGGUCGUCAACGACCCGUCUUGAAACACGGACCAAGGAGUCGAACAUUUGUGCGAGUGUUUGGGUGUUAAACCCUCACGCGUAAUGAAAGUGAACGGAGGUGAGAGCCCUCUAGGGGGUGCAUCAUCGACCGAUCCUGAUGUCUUCGGAUGGAUUUGAGUAGGAGCAUUAAUGUUCGGACCCGAAAGAUGGUGAACUAUGCGUGGAUAGGGUGAAGCCAGAGGAAACUCUGGUGGAGGCUCGCAGCGGUUCUGACGUGCAAAUCGAUCGUCAAAUCUGCGCAUGGGGGCGAAA
Molecule: ribosomal RNA, 834 nt
Filed under: Biscogniauxia nummularia
Lineage: Eukaryota; Fungi; Ascomycota; Sordariomycetes; Xylariales; Xylariaceae
Description: partial large subunit ribosomal RNA
Rfam family: Eukaryotic large subunit ribosomal RNA
Source: RNAcentral